Molecule: ribosomal RNA, 253 nt
Filed under: uncultured archaeon
Lineage: Archaea
Description: partial 16S ribosomal RNA
Rfam family: Archaeal small subunit ribosomal RNA
Source: RNAcentral
UCCCAGCAGUCCGAGUCGUGGCCACAUUUAUUAGGUCUAAAACAUUCGUAGCUGGCUUUGUAAGUUCUUUGUGAAAUCCUGACACUUAAUGUUAGGGCGUGCAAGGGAGACUGCAGAGCUUGAGACUGGGAGACGCAACGAGUACGUUCAAGGUAGCGGUAAAAUGUUUUAAUCUUGAGCGGACUAACAAUGGCGAAGGCACGUUGCGAGAACAGAUCUGACAGUGAGGAAUGAAGGCCCGGGGCGCAAAAUG